AAAAAUUAGAGUGCUCAAAGCAGGCUAUUACGCUUGAAUAUUAGUGCAUGGAAUAAUAGAAUAGGAAGUUGUUUCUAUUUUGUUGGUUUUCGGAAAUCGACUUAAUGAUUAAUAGGGACAGUCGGGGGCAUUUGUAUUCAAACGACAGAGGUGAAAUUCUUGGACCGUUUGAAGACAAACUACUGCGAAGGCAUUUGCCAAGAAUGUUUUCAUUAAUCAAGAACGAAAGUUAGAGGUUCGAAGGCGAUUAGAUACCGCCCUAGUUCUAACCAUAAACGAUGCCAGCUAGCGAUCUGAGGACGUUUUUUUUGUAGACUCCUCAGGAAGCUUCCGGGAAACCAAAGCGUGUGGGUUCCGGGGGAAGUAUGGUUGCAAAGCUGAAACUUAAAGGAAUUGACGGAAGGGCACCACCAGGAGUGGAGCCUGCGGCUUAAUUUGACUCAACACGGGAAAUCUCACCAGGCCCGGACACUGGAAGGAUUGACAGAUUGAGAGCUCUUUCUCGAUUCGGUGGGUGGUGGUGCAUGGCCGUUCUUAGUUGGUGGAGUGAUUUGUCUGGUUAAUUCCGAUAACGAACGAGACUCUGUCCUGCUAAAUAGUGUCAGCCUCUCUUUUGGGCUGACAAUUCUUCUUAGAGGGACUGGCGGCUCCUAGCCGCACGAGAUAGAGCAAUAACAGGUCUGUGAUGCCCUUAGAUGUUCUGGGCAGCACGCGCGCUACACUGAAUAGAUCAGCGUGUUCUCCCUUUCUGAGAAGAACGGGUAAACCGCUGAACCCUAUUCGUGGUAGGGAUCGGGGCUUGCAAUUAUUCCCCGUGAACCAGGAAUUCCCAGUAGGCGCGAGUCAUAAGCUCGCGUCGAUUACGUCCCUGCCCUUUGUACACACCGCCCGUCGCUACUACCGAUUGAACGUUUUAGUGAGGUCCACGGACUGUUUGCAGAGCGGAUUAUUCUGCCUUGCUGGCGGGAAG
This 970-nucleotide ribosomal RNA is filed under the name Metridia okhotensis. RNAcentral's name for it is "SSU rRNA". It matches the Rfam family "Eukaryotic small subunit ribosomal RNA", at positions 761 to 1754 of the family's 1831-position model. Lineage: Eukaryota; Metazoa; Arthropoda; Copepoda; Calanoida; Metridinidae. The record is from RNAcentral.